This 641-nucleotide ribosomal RNA is filed under the name uncultured bacterium. RNAcentral describes it as "bacterial SSU rRNA". It matches the Rfam family "Bacterial small subunit ribosomal RNA", at positions 202 to 842 of the family's 1533-position model. The record is from RNAcentral.
AAGGAAGCGAUUCCGGCGGGGGAUGGGCAUGCGGCGCAUUAGCUAGUCGGCGGGGUAACGGCCCACCGAGGCGACGAUGCGUAGGGGUUCUGAGAGGAAGGUCCCCCACACUGGUACUGAGACACGGACCAGACUCCUACGGGAGGCAGCAGUGAGGAAUAUUGGUCAAUGGGCGGGAGCCUGAACCAGCCAAGUCGCGUGAGGGAAGACGGUCCUACGGAUUGUAAACCUCUUUUGCCGGGGAGCAACGGGGUCCUUGCGAGGGCCCGAUGAGAGUACCCGGAGAAAAAGCAUCGGCUAACUCCGUGCCAGCAGCCGCGGUAAUACGGAGGAUGCGAGCGUUAUCCGGAUUUAUUGGGUUUAAAGGGUGCGUAGGCGGGCUGUUAAGUCAGCGGUCAAAUGUCGGGGCUCAACCCCGGCCUGCCGUUGAAACUGGCGGCCUCGAGUGGGCGAGAAGUAUGCGGAAUGCGUGGUGUAGCGGUGAAAUGCAUAGAUAUCACGCAGAACUCCGAUUGCGAAGGCAGCAUACCGGCGCCCUACUGACGCUGAGGCACGAAAGCGUGGGUAUCGAACAGGAUUAGAUACCCUGGUAGUCCACGCAGUAAACGAUGAAUGCUAGCUGUCCGGUUCUACGGGACUGG